AUUGAACGCUGGCGGCGUGCCUAACACAUGCAAGUCGAGCGGUAACAGGUGUAGCAAUACAUGCUGACGAGCGGCGAACGGGUGAGUAAUGCUUCGGAAUCUGCCCAUGUAGUGGGGAAUAACCAGCCGAAAGGUUGGCUAAUACCGCAUACGACCCUUGCCCACAAGGCAAAGGUGAAAGCAGGGGAUCGCAAGACCUUGCGCUAUUGGAUGAGCCGAAGUCGGAUUAGCUAGUUGGUAGGGUAACGGCCUACCAAGGCGACGAUCCGUAGCUGGUCUGAGAGGACGACCAGCCACACUGGGACUGAGACACGGCCCAGACUCCUACGGGAGGCAGCAGUGGGGAAUAUUGGACAAUGGGGCAACCCUGAUCCAGCGACGCCGCGUGUGUGAAGAAGGCCUGCGGGUUGU
This 411-nucleotide ribosomal RNA is filed under the name uncultured bacterium. RNAcentral describes it as "bacterial SSU rRNA". It matches the Rfam family "Bacterial small subunit ribosomal RNA", at positions 30 to 426 of the family's 1533-position model. The record is from RNAcentral.